This 256-nucleotide ribosomal RNA is filed under the name uncultured bacterium. RNAcentral describes it as "partial 16S ribosomal RNA". It matches the Rfam family "Bacterial small subunit ribosomal RNA", at positions 521 to 776 of the family's 1533-position model. The record is from RNAcentral.
UAAUACGGAGGAUGCAAGCGUUAUCCGGAUUUAUUGGGUUUAAAGGGUGCGCAGGCGGGAAAAUAAGUCAGUGGUGAAAUCCUGCAGCUUAACUGUAGAAUUGCCGUUGAUACUGUUUUUCUUGAGUGUGGUCAAGGAAGGCGGAAUGUGUAAUGUAGCGGUGAAAUGCUUAGAUAUUACACAGAACACCAAUUGCGAAGGCAGCUUUCUGGGCCGUAACUGACGCUCAUGCACGAAAGCGUGGGGAUCGAACAGG